AUAUAUAUAUAUAUAUAUAAGGCUAUAUUAUAGAAAACAACCGUGUAAAUACUAUUUUUUUUAUUUUUUCUCUCUGAUUUUUAAAAAUCUAUAUUUUACUUCUUUAAAAUUUUAAAAAUAUUUUCAGGUGGUACGAGACCAAAUUAUUCAUCUUCAGUAAUAUUUUUUUUAGUAUAUUUUUAUUAUUUUGCAUGACAUUUUUAAUGCACGAAAUAGUGAUGGAACUCUGACGAAGGGGGUCUAAAUGCAACAACUUGAAAUGUUAACGAAUAAAAUAUAAAUUUUAAAAAUUAAAAAGUGAAAAAGUGGGCAUAUCUAUAAAGGGUUUUUUUUCUAAUUUAGUAUAUAUAUUAUCAUUAUACUAUUAUUAUAAUUAACAAAUUUUUAAACUUAAUUAAGUAAAUGCAUGUUUUCGAAUUUUAUUUCAAGAGUACUCUGUGUUAACGGAAAAAUAAAAUUAGCUUAAUUAAUUUUAAGCGUUGAAUUUUACUGAGGCUCGAUAAAAAAAAAAACGGCCAAUUUGCAUAAAAAAUCUACUAAUUUUGCGCUUUUGCAAAAGUGGGCCAACUUUUUAGUUUUUGCAAAUUCGGACCAAAUUUUCAGAAGAAUGACAAAACUACCCUUCUGUCAAAAUGCAUAAAAAUUAUAUACUUUAAAUGUCUAAAAAAUACAACUGUUAAGUCACUAAGUGUAAAACUUCUUGAAAUGACAACUACUAAGUCAUAAUUACAUGUACCUUUCUCGUGAAACGAAAAAUCUCAUUCAAGAGAAAAUAAAAAAAAUAAUUAAUAAGAUGAAAGAGUGCAACAUCCUCUCAAAUAGUGCAACAAACUCUUCAAAAUAAUGCAAUAUCAGUAUAAGUAGUGCAACAUAUGCAUUGUUAAUACACAUUUUGCAUAAUUUUUACACUAAAUUACGCAUAAUUUAGUAUAUUACGAAAAAAUAAUAUAUUAUAUUACAACAUACUAUAAAAAUUAUACAAUAUAUAUAUAAACGGUGCAUAUUUUACACUAUUUGUACAGAUAUUUACACAAUUUGUGUAAAUGUUACACUAUUCUGAGAGGAUAUUGCACCAUUUAGAUGUGUGUUACACUCUUUCUUUUUGAAAAUUAAAUUUCAUUCCAUAUUAAAUAAAGUGUAAAAUUUCUUGGAAAUGACAACUGCUAAACCAUAAUUACAUGCAUGUACCUUUCUCGUGAAACAAGAAAUCUCAUUCAAGAGAAAAUAAAAAGAAUAAAGAAUAAUUAAUAAAAUGAAAGAGUGCAACAUCCUUUCAAAUAGUGCAACAAGCUUUUCAAAGUAGUGCAAUAUCUCUAUAAAUAAUGCAACAUAUGCAUUGUUAAUAAAUAUUUUGUAAGACUUUUACACUAAAUUACGCACGGUUUAGUAUAUUACGCGAAAAUAAUAUAUUAUAUUACAACAUACUAUAAAAAUUAUACAAUAUAUGUACAAACGGUGCAUAUUUUACACUAUUUGUAUAGAUAUUUACACCAUUUGUGUAAAUAUUGCACUAUUAUGAGAGAAUGUUGCACCAUUUAGAUGUGUGUUGCACUCUUUCUUUUUGAAAAUUAAAUUUCAUUGCAUAUUAAAUAAAAUAUAAAACUUCUUGGAAAUGACAAUUACUAAGUCAUAAUUACAUGCAUGUACCUUUCUCGUGAAACGAGAAAUCUCAUUCAAGAGAAAAUAAAAAAAAUAAAGAUUAAUUAAUAAGAUGAAAGAGUGCAAUAUCCUCUCAAAUAGUGCAACAAUCUCUUCAAAAUAGUGCAAUAUCUGUAUAAGUAGUGCAACAUAUGCAUUGUUAAUACACAUUUUGCAUGAUUUUUACACUAAGUUACGUACAGUUUAGUAUAUUACACAAAAAUAAUAUAAUAUAUUACAAUAUAUUAUAAAAAUUAUACAAUAUAUGUACAAACGGUGCAUAUUUUACACUAUUUAUACAUAUAUUUACACCAUUUCUGUAAAUGUUGCACUAUUAUGAGAGAAUGUUGCACCAUUUAGAUGUGUGUUGCACUCUUUCUUUUUGAAAAUUAAAUUUCAUUGCAUAUUAAAUAAAGUGUCAAACUUCUUGGAAAUGACAACUGCUAAGCCAUAAUUACAUGCAUGUACCUUUCUCGUGAAACGAGAAACCUCAUUCAAGAGAAAAUAAAAAAAAUAAAGAUUAAUUAAUAAGAUGAAAGAGUGCAAUAUCCUCUCAAAUAGUGCAACAAUCUCUUCAAAAUAGUGCAAUAUCUGUAUAAUUAGUGCAACAUAUGCAUUGUUAAUACACAUUUUGCAUGAUUUUUACACUAAGUUACGUACAGUUUAGUAUAUUACGCGAAAAUAAUAUAAUAUAUUACAAUAUAUUAUAAAAAUUAUACAAUAUAUGUACAAACGGUGCAUAUUUUACACUAUUUAUACAUAUAUUUACACCAUUUGUGUAAAUGUUGCACUAUUAUGAGAGAAUGUUGCACCAUUUAGAUGUGUGUUGCACUCUUUCUUUUUGAAAAUUAAAUUUCAUUGCAUAUUAAAUAAAGUGUAAAACUUCUUGGAAAUGACAACUGCUAAGCCAUAAUUACAUGCAUGUACCUUUCUCGUGAAACGAGAAACCUCAUUCAAGAGAAAAUAAAAAAAAUAAAGAUUAAUUAAUAAGAUGAAAGAGUGCAAUAUCCUCUCAAAUAGUGCAACAAUCUCUUCAAAAUAGUGCAAUAUCUGUAUAAUUAGUGCAACAUAUGCAUUGUUAAUACACAUUUUGCAUGAUUUUUACACUAAGUUACGUACAGUUUAGUAUAUUACGCGAAAAUAAUAUAAUAUAUUACAAUAUAUUAUAAAAAUUAUACAAUAUAUGUACAAACGGUGCAUAUUUUACACUAUUUAUACAUAUAUUUACACCAUUUGUGUAAAUGUUGCACUAUUAUGAGAGAAUGUUGCACCAUUUAGAUGUGUGUUGCACUCUUUCUUUUUGAAAAUUAAAUUUCAUUGCAUAUUAAAUAAAGUGUCAAACUUCUUGAAAAUGACAACUGCUAAGCCAUAAUUACAUGUACCUUUCUCGUGAAACGAGAAACCUCAUUCAAAAGAAAAUAAAAAAAUAAAGAAUAAUUAGUAAGAUGAAAGAGUGCAACAUCCUCUCAAAUAGUGCAACAAGCUCUUCAAAAUAGUGCAAUAUCUGUAUAAGUAGUGCAACAUACGCAUUGUUAAUACACAUUUUACAUAAUUUUUACACUAAAUUACAUACAGUUUAAUAUAUUACGCGAAAAUAAUAUGCAACAUAUAAUAUAAUAAACUGUAUGUAAUUAAUUUAGUGUAAAAAUCAUACAAAAUGUGUAUUAACAAUGCAUAUGUUGCACUACUUAUACAGAUAUUGCACUAUUUUGAAGAGAUUGUUGCACUAUUUGAGAGGAUAUUGCACUCUUUCAUCUUAUUAAUUAAUCUUUAUUUUUUUUAUUUUCUCUUGAAUGAGGUUUCUCGUUUCACGAGAAAGGUACAUGCAUGUAAUUAUGGCUUAGCAGUUGUCAUUUCCAAGAAGUUUUACACUUCAUUUAAUAUGCAAUGAAAUUUAAUUUUCAAAAAGAAAGAGUGCAACACACAUCUAAAUGGUGCAACAUCCUCUCAUAAUAGUGCAACAUUUACACAAAUGGUGUAAAUAUAUGUAUAAAUAGUGUAAAAUAUGCACCGUUUGUACAUAUAUUGUAUAAUUUUUAUAAUAUAUUGUAAUAUAUUAUAUUAUUUUCGUGUAAUAUACUAAACUGUACGUAACUUAGUGUAAAAAUCAUGCAAAAUGUGUAUUAACAAUGCAUAUGUUGCACUACUUAUACAGAUAUUGCACUAUUUUGAAGAGAUUGUUGCACUAUUUGAGAGGAUAUUGCACUCUUUCAUCUUAUUAAUUAAUCUUUAUUUUUUUUAUUUUCUCUUGAAUGAGGUUUCUCGUUUCACGAGAAAGGUACAUGCAUGUAAUUAUGGCUUAGCAGUUGUCAUUUCCAAGAAGUUUUACACUUCAUUUAAUAUGCAAUGAAAUUUAAUUUUCAAAAAGAAAGAGUGCAACACACAUCUAAAUGGUGCAACAUUCUCUCAUAAUAGUGCAACAUUUACACAAAUGGUGUAAAUAUAUGUAUAAAUAAUGUAAAAUAUGCACCGUUUGUACAUAUAUUGUAUAAUUUUUAUAAUAUAUUGUAAUAUAUUAUAUUAUUUUUGUGUAAUAUACUAAACUGUACGUAACUUAGUGUAAAAAUCAUGCAAAAUGUGUAUUAACAAUGCAUAUGUUGCACUACUUAUACAGAUAUUGCACUAUUUUGAAGAGAUUGUUGCACUAUUUGAGAGGAUAUUGCACUCUUUCAUCUUAUUAAUUAAUCUUUAUUUUUUUUAUUUUCUCUUGAAUGAGGUUUCUCGUUUCACGAGAAAGGUACAUGCAUGUAAUUAUGGCUUAGCAGUUGUCAUUUCCAAGAAGUUUUACACUUCAUUUAAUAUGCAAUGAAAUUUAAUUUUCAAAAAGAAAGAGUGCAACACACAUCUAAAUGGUGCAACAUUCUCUCAUAAUAGUGCAACAUUUACACAAAUGGUGUAAAUAUAUGUAUAAAUAGUGUAAAAUAUGCACCGUUUGUACAUAUAUUGUAUAAUUUUUAUAAUAUAUUGUAAUAUAUUAUAUUAUUUUUGUGUAAUAUACUAAACUGUACGUAACUUAGUGUAAAAAUCAUGCAAAAUGUGUAUUAACAAUGCAUAUGUUGCACUACUUAUACAGAUAUUGCACUAUUUUGAAGAGAUUGUUGCACUAUUUGAGAGGAUAUUGCACUCUUUCAUCUUAUUAAUUAAUCUUUAUUUUUUUUAUUUUCUCUUGAAUGAGGUUUCUCGUUUCACGAGAAAGGUACAUGCAUGUAAUUAUGGCUUAGCAGUUGUCAUUUCCAAGAAGUUUUACACUUCAUUUAAUAUGCAAUGAAAUUUAAUUUUCAAAAAGAAAGAGUGCAACACACAUCUAAAUGGUGCAACAUUCUCUCAUAAUAGUGCAACAUUUACACAAAUGGUGUAAAUAUAUGUAUAAAUAAUGUAAAAUAUGCACCGUUUGUACAUAUAUUGUAUAAUUUUUAUAAUAUAUUGUAAUAUAUUAUAUUAUUUUCGUGUAAUAUACUAAACUGUACGUAACUUAGUGUAAAAAUCAUGCAAAAUGUGUAUUAACAAUGCAUAUGUUGCACUACUUAUACAGAUAUUGCACUAUUUUGAAGAGAUUGUUGCACUAUUUGAGAGGAUAUUGCACUCUUUCAUCUUAUUAAUUAAUCUUUAUUUUUUUUAUUUUCUCUUGAAUGAGGUUUCUUUUUUUACAAGAAAGGUACAUGUAUAUAAUUAUGGCUUAGCAGUUGUCAUUUCCAAGAAGUUUUAUACAUAAUGACUUAGCAGUUGUAUUUUUCUAGAUUUUUAAAGUAUAUUAUUUUUAUGAAUUUUGAAAGAGGGGUAGUUUGGUCAUCCUUCUGAAAAUUCGGCCCGAAUCUGCAAAAACUAAAAAGGUGGCCCACUUUUGCAAAAGCGCAAAAUUAGUGGAUUUUUUAUGCAAAUUGGCCAAAGAAAACUGAUCGUUUAAUUAAAUCGGA
RNAcentral lists this long non-coding RNA (5552 nucleotides) under Ananas comosus (pineapple). RNAcentral describes it as "long non-coding RNA (ACOM_LNC017106)". Lineage: Eukaryota; Viridiplantae; Streptophyta; Magnoliopsida; Poales; Bromeliaceae. The record is from RNAcentral.